AAACAGGUAACUCAGUUGGUAGAGUGUUGGAUUGUCACUCCAAAAGUCGGGAGUUCGAAUCUCCUCCUGUUGG
Molecule: transfer RNA, 73 nt
Filed under: Acrasis kona
Lineage: Eukaryota; Heterolobosea; Eutetramitea; Acrasida; Acrasidae
Description: tRNA-Asp
Rfam family: tRNA
About the family: Transfer RNA (tRNA) molecules are approximately 80 nucleotides in length. Their secondary structure includes four short double-helical elements and three loops (D, anti-codon, and T loops).
Source: RNAcentral